UCUGCGCCCCGGCUUGAGUGGAACUCUUUUUGGCAUUGCGGUAUUUACCUAUACUUUUAAUAAAAAAUCUUCGACAGCAAUGGCAAAAAAGUCGGAACGGAAGACGGAAAUGUGC
Molecule: unclassified non-coding RNA, 115 nt
Filed under: Halpernia frigidisoli
Lineage: Bacteria; Pseudomonadati; Bacteroidota; Flavobacteriia; Flavobacteriales; Weeksellaceae
Description: Chryseobacterium frigidisoli Flavo-1 RNA
Source: RNAcentral